Glossina fuscipes is the source of this 902-nucleotide long non-coding RNA. RefSeq lists it as uncharacterized. The record is from RefSeq and is a predicted model, not a curated record. NCBI's taxonomy places the organism in Eukaryota, Metazoa, Arthropoda, Insecta, Diptera, Glossinidae. The transcript has 3 exons.
UAUCUGCAAUAUAUUAAUCGUUUACGUGAUAUUUAGUUUGGUUUUGUGCAAUCAACACUUAGUGCUCUUGUGUCGAAAGUCCUUGGUCAUGUUUCACUGGACAUGGAUUGUUUAUUUACACCAUGUUGUGCGAAAACAAGCACAGAAUCUGAACAAUUCAUCUUAUGUUGACUCUGUGGUCAUUUUUGCAUUAAACAGUGUGCUGGUAUUAUCGACAACGCUGCUGAUGCAGUCCUGGAUCCAUCAAAAGACUUACGAUGGUCAUGUCCUGACUGUAGCAAAUCGGACAUAGAUAUCUACAAACUCCUCACGGAGAAGAGAAAUGGUUUCUCAGAUUUGAGCAAAAAUUUCGAUUCCUUGUGGGAGAAGUUUGAUAUAAUUAAGACUAGGUUUGAUAAGUCUUGUCAUAUUGAGUAAGCCUGAUUCGUUGGUACAAGUUAGUGCCUCUUCAAUCUCUACAAAGAACGUUAGCGUUUCUUCUGUCAUUGAGUCGGGCGGUAACAAAAACGUUACAAGUAAGCCAGGAAGUCCUUGUGGUCUCAGCUAUGCUGAAGUGGCAAGGGUAUCUCGUCCCAUUUGCGUCACUCACUCUACUCAGGCGUCAUCGCUUAAAACUAAUAAAGAGAAUAAUAAAACGUACUCUCCCCCAGGUGUUUCGAGUGUGAACGCUGGUCACCAAACUGGGUACGUCGCGCAAGCUGCCCGUGCAAGUGUUCUACAUUCUCCUCAACUCAAAAUUUCCCAUCCGUUAACCCUAUUGUUCCUGGUAGAGCGUGUUAGCAUUUUCAAAUUGGCUCCUUCUCAAACUAGCCAAUCUCGUCUUUUAAAAUGCUAGUUCUGACUGGAAACGUGGACGUGUUCUUAAAUAAACCAUUGUGGCCGCUUGGAUCCUUAAACGAGGA